This 1523-nucleotide ribosomal RNA is filed under the name metagenome. Its description in RNAcentral is "bacterial SSU rRNA". It matches the Rfam family "Bacterial small subunit ribosomal RNA". The record is from RNAcentral.
AGAGUUUGAUCCUGGCUCAGAACGAACGCUGGCGGCAUGCUUAACACAUGCAAGUUGGGCGAGAACCGAGGAGCUUGCUUCUCGGGGACAGCAGCGCACGGGUGAGUAACGCGUGGAUAACGUGCCCUGGGGUUGGGGAUAACCCACCGAAAGGUGGACUAAUACCGAAUGUGUUCCAUAGAGGUGAGCCUUUUUGGAAGAAAGCGGGGCAACCCGCGCCCGAGGAUCGGUCCGCGUUCCAUCAGCUAGUUGGUGGGGUAAAGGCCUACCAAGGCUACGACGGAUAGCUGGUCUGAGAGGAUGAUCAGCCACACUGGGACUGAGACACGGCCCAGACUCCUACGGGAGGCAGCAGUGGGGAAUAUUGGUCAAUGGGCGAAAGCCUGAACCAGCAAUGCCGCGUGAGUGAUGAAGGCCUUCGGGUUGUAAAGCUCUGUCAGCGGGAACGAAUAAGCCGAUUAAUACCCGGUGAUGACGGUACCCGCAAAGGAAGCACCGGCUAACUCUGUGCCAGCAGCCGCGGUAAUACAGAGGGUGCAAGCGUUGUUCGGAAUUACUGGGCGUAAAGCGCGUGUAGGCGGUCUGAUAAGUCGGUCGUGAAAUCCCUAGGCUUAACCUAGGAACUGCGAUCGAAACUGUUAGACUAGAGUAUCGGAGGGGAUGGCGGAAUUCCCGGUGUAGAGGUGAAAUUCGUAGAUAUCGGGAGGAACACCUGUGGCGAAGGCGGCCAUCUGGAAGAUUACUGACGCUGAGACGCGAAAGCGUGGGGAGCAAACAGGAUUAGGUACCCUGGUAGUCCACGCUGUAAACGAUGAGUGCUAGGUGUUGCGGGUAUUGACCCCUGCAGUGCCAAAGCUAACGCGUUAAGCACUCCGCCUGGGGAGUACGGUCGCAAGAUUAAAACUCAAAGGAAUUGGCGGGGGCCCGCACAAGCGGUGGUGCAUGUGGUUUAAUUCGACACAACGCGCAGAACCUUACCUGGGUUUGAACUGCAGCGGACCGGCGCAGAAAUGUGCUUUCCCUUCGGGGCCGCUGUGGAGGUGCUGCAUGGCUGUCGUCAGCUCGUGUCGUGAGAUGUUGGGUUAAGUCCCGCAACGAGCGCAACCCUUGCCAGUAGUUGCCAACAGGUAAAGCUGGGAACUCUACUGGGACUGCCGGUGUUAAACCGGAGGAAGGUGGGGAUGACGUCAAGUCCUCAUGGCCCUUAUGUCCAGGGCUACACACGUGCAACAAUGGUUGGUACAAAGAGUCGCUAAGCCGCGAGGUGGAGCUAAUCUCAAAAAACCAAUCUCAGUUCGGAUUGUAGUCUGCAACUCGACUACAUGAAGUAGGAAUCGCUAGUAAUCGCGGAUCAGCACGCCGCGGUGAAUACGUUCCCGGGCCUUGUACACACCGCCCGUCACACCAUGGGAGUCAGUUGCUCCAGAAGUGCCUGAGCUAACCGCAAGGAGGCAGGGUACCAAGGAGUGGUUGGCGACUGGGGUGAAGUCGGAACAAGGUAGCCGUAGGGGAACCUGCGGCUG